Long non-coding RNA from Neodiprion fabricii, 176 nucleotides. RefSeq lists it as uncharacterized. NCBI's taxonomy places the organism in Eukaryota, Metazoa, Arthropoda, Insecta, Hymenoptera, Diprionidae. The transcript has 2 exons. The record is from RefSeq and is a predicted model, not a curated record.
AUUUCCAACUGCAUCACAUAAAAUAGUUCAAAGGCAAAAAUGGAUUACUGCUGUGAAAAGAAAAAAAAAAAAUCAGAUGAUCCUGCGAGUCCAAGCUACGCGCCAACUCUAUUCCCUCCAGUUUAUCAUGCAAAGCAAGUAAAUGAAAAAGCUGUUUUGAGCAGGUAAAUGUAUGA